AAGCACUAAGAUUUGUUGAUUUCUUACAAAAGUCUAUCAAAUAAGUUAUACAAACUGUAUGUAGCACUAUGCCUGUGUUUUAGAACUUUCUGUGAGCACAAUGUUAUUUUUCCUUACAAAAUAAAAGUCCUUUUUGCAAUGCACUGCAGAUGGCAAUUCCCUUUAGUUCAACUGUGUGAUAUUGACACAACUGAUGCCGCUUGUAUUGAUAACCUGUGUGGUUCUCAGCUAGAGAGUACACCAAGAACAUAUA
Molecule: long non-coding RNA, 253 nt
Organism: Etheostoma spectabile (orangethroat darter)
Lineage: Eukaryota; Metazoa; Chordata; Actinopteri; Perciformes; Percidae
Exons: 3
Source: RefSeq, a predicted model, not a curated record